Molecule: transfer RNA, 74 nt
Filed under: Stenocercus angel
Lineage: Eukaryota; Metazoa; Chordata; Lepidosauria; Squamata; Tropiduridae
Description: tRNA-Tyr
Source: RNAcentral
CUGGUAAAAGGAAGACUUAAACUUCCCUUGACGGAUUUACAGUCCGCCACCUAUUUCUCUCGGCCACUUUACCU